UAGGGAAUCUUCGGCAAUGGACGAAAGUCUGACCGAGCAACGCCGCGUGAGUGAAGAAGGUUUUCGGAUCGUAAAACUCUGUUGUUAGAGAAGAACAAGGACGUUAGUAACUGAACGUCCCCUGACGGUAUCUAACCAGAAAGCCACGGCUAACUACGUGCCAGCAGCCGCGGUAAUACGUAGGUGGCAAGCGUUGUCAGGAUUGAUUGGGCGUAAAGCGAGCGCAGGCGGUUUCUUAAGUCUGAUGUGAAAGCCCCCGGCUCAACCGGGGAGGGUCAUUGGAAACUGUGAGACUUGAGUGCAGAAGAGGAGAGUGGAAUUCCAUGUGUAGCGGUGACAUGCGUAGAUUUAUGGAGGAACACCAGUGGCGAAGGCGGCUCUCUGGUCUGUAACUGACGCUGAGGCUCGAAAGCGUGGGGAGCAAACAGG
This 429-nucleotide ribosomal RNA is filed under the name Gemmatimonadota bacterium. Its description in RNAcentral is "Gemmatimonadetes bacterium partial 16S ribosomal RNA". It matches the Rfam family "Bacterial small subunit ribosomal RNA", at positions 355 to 776 of the family's 1533-position model. Lineage: Bacteria; Pseudomonadati; Gemmatimonadota. The record is from RNAcentral.